GCGGACUCCGUGGGAGCAGGCGCGGGAAGACGGGGGGGGGAAGUGUGAUGCGGACUGAUUGGGCGUAUGGCGUCCGUAGGUAGCUAGGCAAGGCGGCGGUCAAAGACUGGGGCUUAACCCUGGAAAGGCCGUGGAAACUGACGAGCUAGAGUGCAGUAGGGGUAGAGGGAAUUCCCGGUGUAGCGGUGAAAUGCGUAGAGCUCGGGAAGAACAUCGGUGGCGAAAGCGCUCUACUGGACUGCAACUGACACUCAGGGACGAAAGCUAGGGGAGCGAAUGGGAUUAGAUACCCCAGUAGUC
This 300-nucleotide ribosomal RNA is filed under the name uncultured Thermococcus sp. RNAcentral's name for it is "bacterial SSU rRNA". It matches the Rfam family "Bacterial small subunit ribosomal RNA", at positions 496 to 795 of the family's 1533-position model. The record is from RNAcentral. Lineage: Archaea; Methanobacteriati; Methanobacteriota; Thermococci; Thermococcales; Thermococcaceae.